This 121-nucleotide ribosomal RNA is filed under the name Candidatus Bathyarchaeota archaeon. The record is from RNAcentral. Lineage: Archaea; Thermoproteati; Candidatus Bathyarchaeota.
GUUACCGGCCAAAGGGCGUGGGUCCCACCCGAACCCAUUCCGAACUCGGAAGUUAAACCACGCUCCGUCCACGGCGUGUAGUGAUGUCUUCGGCUUCGCAAAACCGUGAAAGCUGGUGGCC